GGCAGCUCAACUGAUUCACAAGAAACCACUAGAAAGAUUUCAGGAUAAGAUUUAAGCAUACCCUAAAUUAAAUGCUUAAAGAUAAAAAUUAUGUGAUAUAAAUGAUACAGCUUGAAAUGUAUGGCAGCCUUAUAGAUCUUCAUAAAGAGAGCAAACAUGCACAUGAGUGAAUGAGUAAGUGUGUAAGAAUUCAUAAGUAAAAAUUUAUAGGUGGAAAAUUAAAUCUUAAGAUGUUCUCUUGGAUUUGAUAUUUUGCCAAACUGUUCUUUAGGAUUUUACCAACUCAUUGGAGAAAA
This 296-nucleotide long non-coding RNA is filed under the name Bos taurus (domestic cattle). Its description in RNAcentral is "long non-coding RNA NONBTAT014890". The record is from RNAcentral. Lineage: Eukaryota; Metazoa; Chordata; Mammalia; Artiodactyla; Bovidae.